This 28-nucleotide small RNA is filed under the name Bombyx mori (domestic silkworm). RNAcentral's name for it is "ovarian small RNA-37719". Lineage: Eukaryota; Metazoa; Arthropoda; Insecta; Lepidoptera; Bombycidae. The record is from RNAcentral.
UUGAGUUUUUGGCUGGCAGCUUUGGUGU